GAUAAACUGAAACAGUCAACGUCCCACAAUGGACUUGACAUAGGCACGUCGUCACUAGCACGAUACGGACAACUUUUUUCCUCUCUACACUCUACGCCAUCAUGUAUAUUAGUUAUAUAGAUGUCGCUCGUGUUAUUUUCAGGCCUAUGUACAGCAGGAGAUUUUUAUGUUAAUAAUUUAGAAUCCAUUUGUAUAUUAUCCGACAUGAUUUGCACAAACAUUUUUGUUUAUCUUCAACUGAAAUUAAUAUAAAAUCAUAUUAUAUAAUGUAAUCGUCAUAUAAAAGUGUAAUCGCGUAGCAUUAAUCAUAUCAGAUAGUAUAAACGAAUUUUUGUCGUGCAUUGAGGAUUCGAUCGUGGUUCGUAUCGUACCAUUGACCAAUCGUGCAAUUUUUUUCUUUUUUUUAUAUUUAAAAAAAUUUUUUUUUUCAUAUUGUUGCAUUAUUUUGUUGCAUGAUCGUGAUUCUUAAUGAAAUAUAAAUAGUGAUCUAUUUGUUAAAAGGAAUUAUGUUAAAAGGAAUUGAAAAAAGAAAUAUAGAUUGCAAAGUUCCAGUGUCUUGAAAGAUUCGCUAGAGAUUCCUUCGAGAAUUUUUUAUACAAAUUUUUCUCAAGAUACAAUGGAUUCUAAAAAUUAAAAAUUUUUUAAAUUUUAUUUUUAAAUUAAAAUGAAAACGUUAAAAAAGAGAAGAAAAGGAAAAUGAACAAUUUUAGCAAUUUUUAUAGCGUGAACAAUUACGAAUGAAGAUUACACAAAAAUGAAAGAAAACAAUACAGAUGUAGAAAAAAAAGGAUAGAAACAUGGAUGAUGGUAUUCAUUCCAAAGCGUUUUCAUUUUCACAAAAUUUAUGAUUGUUCUAUGUCUUGUGAAUUUGCCGUACCGAGACGGUGGUGGCUGUACAAGAAUUGGCUCGAUUCCGCAAGAAGGCUGAGCCCUCCCAUUUUCUCUUAAAUUGCGCUAUCACCUAAACAAAAAAACAAAAUAAAACGGCCACACAGAGACCCUGUAGAAAAAACAUCAAAAAUUUAAAAAUUUAUAAAUAAUAUUUAAUUUAAUAAUUAUUUAUUUCAAAUAUUUAUAAAAGAUUAAUUAACUUUAACAUUCAAUUUGAUAUAGUAUCCGAGAAAAUUGAGAGUUGAUUGUGAAAUAUAAGAAAAUGGUUAAAUAUAGUUUCUAUUGAAAAAUAUGUGAAAUUACCUGGAAAGAAGCUGUUAUAGCGGAAAGAACCUCAUAGAAAUGCUCCCAAGGAUGAUUUUUCGGUGGCCUGAAGGGUAUAACAAGAUAAUGUAAACCCAAAAGAGGUACAAGAAGUAAUGUUGCCCUAAUGAAAUGAAAAAUUGUUAUUUUUUUUUUAAUUAAACUAAAACAAAAUUAAAAAACAUUUAGAUAUGAAUUAAUAAAUAUUAAUUACCGAAAUGCUUGACGCAUAGAUCUUGAAGGUUGUGUACCAAUGCUAGGACCAGCUCUCAAUUUCAUUAAUAGAACUCGAACGAUAUUGAAGAGAAAAAGUACAUUCAAUAAGGUGGAAACGCAUACUGGAUAAACCAGUACGUUCAUGUAAUUACCCUCAUUGAUCCAACAUCUGAAAUCACCAUUAAAGAAUUAAUGUACGGGCCAACCAAGAAUCAUCAACCAUUUUACUAAUUUUUGUUCGCUUGUGAAUGCACUGACAAGCAGAGUAUGUAGAUAAAAACCUUCACACAACAUCCAUGCAUAAUUAGUAAGAAGAAAGUAAUGAAGAAUAAUAUGCAACAGCCGACAUGUCAUCUGAAAAUCAAUUUUAAUAAUAAUAUUAUAUAUAAUAAAAUUUAAUUUAUACAAUUAAUAUAUAUAAAAAAUGAAACAAAAAGAAAAACAGGUAAAAAAAUAAAACUUAAAAAAAAGUUUGUUUUUAUCAUUGAUAUAUAUAUAUUUCACUAAAAAUAAGCAAAUUUAUAAUAUGUUAAAAAAAAUAUAAAAAUAUAAAAAUAAUAAAAAUGUAUAAGAUAAUGUUUGUUUCCUAUACUACUUAAUUUCAGAAUUUACAAAGGCAUUAUUAUUCGAACGAUAUAUGGUGUGACUAAAUUCUCGUUCGAGUUACUGGGUCGAGUGUUAAGCAAAGAGUUAAGAUCUUCAUACAUACCCCAUUGUUCAACAGUAAAUCCGUAUUCGCUACGAUGCAUCUAUACCAUACCAGCCAUAGAGCAUUAUUUACAGCAAAAGAGGCGAACAGGUUCAUAUGAAGAGUGAUCCUUGCACACCUCAGGGAGCUAUUUCGAAGAAAUUCAUGGAAAAAGAUUCAAUUAAUUAGAGAAUAAAGAAAUAUAAAAGUUUAAUUAAUGGAAUAUUAGAAGACUUUGGGCGAAUAGGAAGUUACAUAGUAGUUAAGUGAACUUCAUAAACUUCUACAGCGUCUAAUUGCAUUUAUUGGCCCUUUGUCCCGUGAAAAUUGAAUUGGUCCCGCCAUUAAGCACGACAGCUGUUUAUUCGAUAUCCGAUAAAAACAGGCUAAGAUUGAUUAUUUUUCAAAAACACUUCAAUAUAUUUAUUCACUUCUAUAAAGAAUAACGAAAACUUUAACCAAAACUCUUCAAGAGUCUCUUAAAAUCGUUUUCAUACGCUUGCAAGAGAUAGUAAUGGCACCAUCGGGAAAUUCGAUGAACUCCUGAAUCCCAAAGGAUUUCUAGAAGAAAACGAAAGAAGUCAUUUCGUUCUUUUCUUUUUUUUUUUUUUUUUUAUUCAACAUUAAAGAAGUUUUCGAUAUGAAACGAGAAAUUCAUCGAGGUAGAAAAUUCCCAGUUAUUCGUAUCUCGGUUUGUCUUAUCUUUUGCAUAGUUUCUGCAUAGUGAAACGAUAUCUUUCUCAUUACAUCUUUUGAAUUCUUUGCUAUCACGAUCGUGCCUUCGGCAAAAGAUAUGAUCCAUGCAAAGAUUAUCGUAUUAUAAUAUUACAGGAAUUAAUGAUUAGAAUGAUUUUAUAAUAUUAAAA
Molecule: long non-coding RNA, 2964 nt
Organism: Apis dorsata (giant honeybee)
Lineage: Eukaryota; Metazoa; Arthropoda; Insecta; Hymenoptera; Apidae
Exons: 9
Source: RefSeq, a predicted model, not a curated record